GACCUGUUUGUGCUUUCAGAGGGAAACAGGGUGGUUGACACCAGGCUUUAACUUAGUCUGGUCCCAGACCUGUGUAUGCUGUCAUGACAACUUCUUGUUGCCAUUGUCCUGCGGCAGGUGGCUUCAUUCCUAGACGACAUGCAGUCCUCAACCAGUCAAUGCAGACAGAAUCAUCGCACUAUCUGAUGUAAGACAAUGCCUUGUCGGAGACGGCACGACCUUAUCUGGAACCAGGCUAAGGUCAAUGACAACAGGACCAGAUCUGGAACCAGGUCAAUGACAACAGGACCAGAUCUGGGACCAGGUUUAUGAUAACAGGACCAGAUCUGGAACCAGGUUUAUGAUAACAGGACCAGAUCUGGGACCAGGUUUAUGAUAACAGGACCAGAUCUGGAACCAGGUUAAGGUCAAGAGGGUGGAAGAUACAAGGCUGUUUGUUUCUUCAGCGGAGAAUAAAACUUGUAAAAAAUACAACUGGAGUCUUGAGUUUUCUCUCUUUCUUUAUCUUUGUCCAUUUAUUUCUCUCUCUUUUCUCGU
Molecule: long non-coding RNA, 537 nt
Filed under: Salmo salar (Atlantic salmon)
Lineage: Eukaryota; Metazoa; Chordata; Actinopteri; Salmoniformes; Salmonidae
Description: lncRNA (ENSSSAG00000107839.1)
Source: RNAcentral